RNAcentral lists this ribosomal RNA (414 nucleotides) under uncultured bacterium. RNAcentral's name for it is "bacterial SSU rRNA". It matches the Rfam family "Bacterial small subunit ribosomal RNA", at positions 355 to 786 of the family's 1533-position model. The record is from RNAcentral.
UGGGGAAUAUUGCACAAUGGGGGAAACCCUGAUGCAGCGACGCCGCGUGGAGGAAGAAGGUCUUCGGAUUGUAAACUCCUGUCCUUGGGGACGAUAAUGACGGUACCCGAGGAGGAAGCACCGGCUAACUACGUGCCAGCAGCCGCGGUAAAACGUAGGGUGCAAGCGUUGUCCGGAAUUACUGGGUGUAAAGGGAGCGCAGGCGGAUUGUCAAGUUGGGAGUGAAACGUACGGGCUCAACCCGUAACCUGCUUUCAAAACUGGCAGUCUUGAGUGGUGUAGAGGUAGGCGGAAUUCCCGGUGUAGCGGUGGAAUGCGUAGAUAUCGGGAGGAACACCAGUGGCGAAGGCGGCCUACUGGGCACUAACUGACGCUGAGGCUCGAAAGCGUGGGGAGCAAACAGGAUUAGAUACC